This 524-nucleotide ribosomal RNA is filed under the name Simulium izuae. Its description in RNAcentral is "partial 16S ribosomal RNA". It matches the Rfam family "Bacterial large subunit ribosomal RNA", at positions 1815 to 2605 of the family's 2925-position model. The record is from RNAcentral. Lineage: Eukaryota; Metazoa; Arthropoda; Insecta; Diptera; Simuliidae.
ACAUGUCUUUUUAGUAUUUAAUAUAAAGUCUGGCCUGCCCACUGAAUAAUAUUUGAAGGGCCGCAGUAUUUUGACUGUGCAAAGGUAGCAUAAUCAUUAGUCUUUUAAUUGAAGGCUGGUAUGAAUGGUCGGAUGAGAUAUAAGCUGUGUCAAAAAAAUUAUUAUUUGAAUUUAACUUUUUAGUCAAAAGGCUAAAAUAAAUUUAAAAGACGAGAAGACCCUAUAGAGCUUUAUAUAAUAAAUAUUUAAAUUAUUAAGAUUUAUUAAAUUUAAUUUUUAUAUUGUAUUUUGUUGGGGUGACAAUAAAAUUUAUAAAACUUUUAUUUUUAUUUAACAUUAAUUUAUGAUUAUAUGAUCCAAUUUUAUUGAUUAUAAAUUUAAGUUACCUUAGGGAUAACAGCGUAAUUUUUUUUGAGAGUUCUUAUCGACAAAAAAGAUUGCGACCUCGAUGUUGGAUUAAGAGUAAUUUUGGGUGUAGAAGUUCAAAAUUUAAGUCUGUUCGACUUUUGAAUUCUUACAUGAUC